This 239-nucleotide ribosomal RNA is filed under the name Dermanura gnomus. Its description in RNAcentral is "partial 12S ribosomal RNA". It matches the Rfam family "Bacterial small subunit ribosomal RNA", at positions 886 to 1244 of the family's 1533-position model. Lineage: Eukaryota; Metazoa; Chordata; Mammalia; Chiroptera; Phyllostomidae. The record is from RNAcentral.
GCCAAAGCUUAAAACUCAAGGGACUUGGCGGUGCUUCAUAUCCCUCUAGAGGAGCCUGUUCUAUAAUCGAUAAACCCCGAUAAACCUCACCAACCCUUGCCAACUCAGCCUAUAUACCGCCAUCCUCAGCAAACCUUUAAAAAGAAUUGUAGUAAGCUCAAUCACAAUUACGCAAAAACGUUAGGUCAAGGUGUAGCCUAUGGGUUGGAAAGAAAUGGGCUACAUUUCCUAUUACUAGG